GAGUUUGAUCGUGGCUCAGGAUGAACGCUGGCGGCGUGCCUAAUACAUGCAAGUCGAGCGAACGGACGAGAAGCUUGCUUCUCUGAUGUUAGCGGCGGACGGGUGAGUAACACGUGGAUAACCUACCUAUAAGACUGGGAUAACUUCGGGAAACCGGAGCUAAUACCGGAUAAUAUUUUGAACCGCAUGGUUCAAAAGUGAAAGACGGUCUUGCUGUCACUUAUAGAUGGAUCCGCGCUGCAUUAGCUAGUUGGUAAGGUAACGGCUUACCAAGGCAACGAUGCAUAGCCGACCUGAGAGGGUGA
RNAcentral lists this ribosomal RNA (305 nucleotides) under uncultured microorganism. Its description in RNAcentral is "bacterial SSU rRNA". It matches the Rfam family "Bacterial small subunit ribosomal RNA", at positions 9 to 303 of the family's 1533-position model. The record is from RNAcentral.